This 213-nucleotide microRNA precursor is filed under the name Oryza glumipatula. Its description in RNAcentral is "MIR812 microRNA precursor family". It matches the Rfam family "MIR812 microRNA precursor family". Lineage: Eukaryota; Viridiplantae; Streptophyta; Magnoliopsida; Poales; Poaceae. The record is from Rfam by way of RNAcentral.
UCUGAAUAUAAGUAUAGUUCUACAUAUCCAAUAUUUGAUCGUUCGUUUUAUUUGAAAUUUUUUUAUGAUUAGUAUUUUUGUUGUUAUUAGACGAUAAAACAUAAAUAGUACAUGAAUAGUACUUUAUGUGUGACUUUUUUCUAUUUUUUUCAUAUUUUUUUAAUAAGACGGAUGGUCAAACGUUGAAUACGGAUUUCCACGGCCACACUUAUU